GACAGGAUACAAAAUUACAUGGAGUAUUUGAUAUCUUACUUAUGAAAACAUGCUGAAUAUAUUUUUUAAUUUACAACGUACAAAGUGCAGAAUACUCAUAUGUAACUCAUGAGAUUAAUCACUUUACCUCUAACAUCAGGUAUGAAUAUUGUUUUCACUUACAGUAUAUAUACAUAACACAAAAUAAUCAUAUAUAUAUAAACGGCAUCUUGGUGUAUAUUUCUGCUAUGCGCGAGAUUUUAGAAUGGGCCGAACCACAUAGAUUUAUCGUACGCGACCUUAUCUUGCAUUUCUGUAAGAGAUUAUUUCCAUGGAUUAACCCUGUAAACU
RNAcentral lists this long non-coding RNA (330 nucleotides) under Capsicum annuum. RNAcentral describes it as "long non-coding RNA (CANN_LNC001017)". The record is from RNAcentral. Lineage: Eukaryota; Viridiplantae; Streptophyta; Magnoliopsida; Solanales; Solanaceae.